AUGGCAGUCCACGUUGUCAUUGCCAUCGUCCUUCAGCUGAAGAAAUUGUGCAAGGAGGGCGCAUAUUGGGGUGCUGUUGCUGGAGUGUAUGUAGGGAUGGAGUAUGGAGUGGAAAGGGUCCGCGGAGAGUAUGACUGGAUGCGGCAGCUCAAGGGCGAGGUCAACAUCUUCUCCAGGGCCGACGGGUCGGCGUUGUUCAAGGUGGGCAACACCAGGGUCAUCGCCGUCGUCUACGGCCCCUGA
This 243-nucleotide ribosomal RNA is filed under the name Triticum aestivum (bread wheat). RNAcentral describes it as "partial small subunit ribosomal RNA". The record is from RNAcentral. Lineage: Eukaryota; Viridiplantae; Streptophyta; Magnoliopsida; Poales; Poaceae.